UUCGGUAGAUUGGAUGAAAGUUGAGUGGCGGACGGGUGAGUAACACGUGGGCAACCUGCCUCACAGAGGGGAUAGCAGUUGGAAACGACCUGAUAAUACCGCAUAAGCACACAGUACCGCAUGGUACAGGGUGAAAAGNUUUAUCACUGUGAGAUGGACCCGCGUCUGAUUAGCCAGUUGGCAGGGUAACGGCCCACCAAGGCGACGAUCAGUAGCCGGUCUGAGAGGAUGAACGGCCACAUUGGGACUGAGACACGGCCCAGACUCCUACGGGAGGCAGCAGUGGGGAAUCUUCCGCAAUGGGCGAAAGCCUGACGGAGCAACGCCGCGUGAGUGAUGACGGCCUUCGGGUUGUAAAGCUCUGUGAUCGGGGACGAACGGUCAGCAGACGAAUACUCUGCUGAAGUGACGGUACCCGAAUAGCAAGCCACGGCUAACUACGUG
Molecule: ribosomal RNA, 444 nt
Filed under: uncultured bacterium
Lineage: Bacteria
Description: bacterial SSU rRNA
Rfam family: Bacterial small subunit ribosomal RNA
Source: RNAcentral